Molecule: ribosomal RNA, 329 nt
Filed under: uncultured Bartonella sp.
Lineage: Bacteria; Pseudomonadati; Pseudomonadota; Alphaproteobacteria; Hyphomicrobiales; Bartonellaceae
Description: bacterial SSU rRNA
Rfam family: Bacterial small subunit ribosomal RNA
Source: RNAcentral
GCAAGUCGAGCGCACUCUUUUAGAGUGAGCGGCAAACGGGUGAGUAACGCGUGGGAAUCUACCCAUCUCUACGGAAUAACACAGAGAAAUUUGUGCUAAUACCGUAUACGUCCUAUUGGAGAAAGAUUUAUCGGAGAUGGAUGAGCCCGCGUUGGAUUAGCUAGUUGGUGAGGUAACGGCUCACCAAGGCGACGAUCCAUAGCUGGUCUGAGAGGAUGAUCAGCCACACUGGGACUGAGACACGGCCCAGACUCCUACGGGAGGCAGCAGUGGGGAAUAUUGGACAAUGGGGGCAACCCUGAUCCAGCCAUGCCGCGUGAGUGAUGAAG